This is a long non-coding RNA of Cairina moschata (Muscovy duck), 1932 nucleotides long. The record is from Ensembl. Lineage: Eukaryota; Metazoa; Chordata; Aves; Anseriformes; Anatidae.
GCCGGGGGGGGGGAUGUUGGGCCCCCCCGGUGCCGCGACGCCAGAGGGGUCCCACCACCACCACAUCUGGCACGUGCAGUACACAUAUGGCAUAUGCAGUGUGCGGUGGUGUGGGAUGUGCAGUGUGUGUGCAGUGUGUGUGCAGUGUGUGCAGUGUGUGUGUGCAGCGUGUAUGUGCAGUGCAUGCAGUGCGCGUGGUGUGCAGUGUGUGUGCAGUGCUUGCAGCGAGUGUGUGCAGUGUGUGCCCACAGUGUGUGCAGUGCGUGCCUGCAGUGCGUGCAGUGUGUGUGCAGUGUGCAGUGUGUGCGCAGCAUGUGCAGUGUGUACGCAGCAUAUGCACGGUCUGCAGCAUGUAGGGGGGGUGUGUUGUGCACAGGGUGUGCAGCAUGCAGCGUGCACACAGCAUGCAGUGAGUGCAGCGGCUGGGGUGGGCAGUGUUUGCUCAACAUGCAGUGUGCACACAGACAGAUGUGCAAGCAGGGUGCGCAGGGUGCAGUGUGGGAGCAGUGUGCAGGCAGUGUCUGCAACGUGUGCAGUGUGUGUGCAGUGCAUGGCGUGUGUGUGCACAGUGUACAUGCAACGUGUACGGUGUGUGUGCAGUGUGAGCAGUGCAAGCAGUGUGAGAAGCGUGUGCAGUGUGAGCAGUGCAAGCAGUGUGAGCAGUGUGAGCAGUCUGUACAGUGAGUAUUGUGAGCAGUGCAAGCAGCGUGUGCAGUGCAUGCAAUGAGAGCAGUGUGAGCAGUACAUGCAGUGUGAACAGCACACGUAGUGCGAGCAGUGCGAGCAGUGCAAGCAGUGUGAGCAGUGUGAGCAGUGCGAGCAGUCCAUGCAGUGCGAGCAGUGGGAGCAGCACAACGUGCAGCCCUGCGGGGGGGGGGCACAGCCGUGGCUUUCCCACGGGCAGGCGGGGGCAGCCUGGGGGCUGGGCCCCCCCCAGCAGGGGCCGGGCCCCCCGGGGCGGGGCGGGGCGAGGCGAGGCCGCCCCCUGCCCGCCCCCGCCGCCGGGGCCGCCUCCCGCGGGCGCGCAUGUGCCCGCGGCACGGCUCCGCACCGCUCUCCCGGGAGCUUCGCAGCUGGCACCCGAGCCGUGCCGGGCCGUGCCUGGCCGUGCCAAGCCGUGCCUGGCCGUGCCGGGCCGUGCCGAGCCGUGCCGGGCCGUGCCAUGGCCCCGCCGUGCGCCGGGGCGCUGCGCUGCGCGCUCCUUUGCGCGUUCCUUUGCGCGCUGCUGUGCGCGCAGGGCCCCGCUGCCACCCGCGCAGGAGAAUGCGGCGAGCUGCGAUCCUGCCAGACAUGCACCGCCGGCACCGCCUCGCCCAACGGCUCCGCCUGCGUCUGGGUGGGCUGCGGGGCGCCCCAGGAGCCAGAGACCUGGAGCUGCGUGCAGAGAGGGGCGGCAGCACGGGGGACGUGCGUGCUCUACAACACCACCGCCCUGUGCCCAGCAGCGCUGAAAUCCCCCACCAAAGAGCCCCCACGGCCCCCUAGCAAGGAGCCGGUGACGCAUUCGCCACGUGAGUGGGGUUGGGGGGCUGGGGGGCCAGGAGGGGGGGGGCAAUGAUGGGAUGGGACCGGCCUCUUCCCUCUGCAUCCCCUGGGGAGGGAUGAGCGCUGCCCCCCUCUUGGGGUUGCACUGAUGGAGGUUACACCGUGGCUGUGCCCACAGGGUGCCAGCCCCGUCCCCAUGGUCACAGCUCGGUCCCUGGCCCCCCUUUUUUUUUCCCCUUUUUUCCUUGCCGGGGGGGGCACGGGGAGGACAGCAGCAGGUGAAGGGGCUGGGAGCGGAGGAGCCUCUUCCAGGAAACGGGAUCUGGAGGGCACGGGGCUCGCUGCGGCCGUAACCGGAGCCGCUGCCCUCUGAAUUAUUGAUGCCAGCGGGCUGCUCCGGCACGGGAGGGGGCUGAGGGGGGGGCACAUCCCUGCCUUUCCUCCCUC